UAGCUUUAAGACUUAUAUUUAAAGUUUUACCUGCCCGGUGGAAUUCUUAACGGCCGCAGUACUUUGACUGUGCUAAGGUAGCAUAAUAAAUUGGCUUUUAAUUAAAGUCGGGUAUGAAAGGGGCUUCGGAAGAUAACUGUCUUAAAUAUAUAUAUAAUUUUAAUUUAAUUAAUGAGUGAAAAUUCUCAUAAUUUUUUACAUUAGACGAGAAGACCCUAAGAGUUAUAAUUAAGAUUAGGCUUACCUGAUAUAUCAUUUUUGUUGGGGCAACAAAGACUGGAUUAAACCGUCAUAAAACAAUUUUAACAUAACCAAUAUUUUUAGAAAGAAAUAAACUACCUUAGGGAUAACAGCAUAAUUAAUUUUUAGAUUGUGACCUCGAUGUUGGAUUAAGGACUUUGUUUACUAGCCGUAAGCAAAGAUAGUUCUGUUCGAACUGUAAUACCUU
Molecule: ribosomal RNA, 448 nt
Filed under: Vertigo lilljeborgi vinlandica
Lineage: Eukaryota; Metazoa; Mollusca; Gastropoda; Stylommatophora; Vertiginidae
Description: Vertigo illjeborgi n. ssp. vin JCN-2017 partial 16S ribosomal RNA
Rfam family: Archaeal large subunit ribosomal RNA
Source: RNAcentral